AUUGAACGCUGGCGGCAUGCCUUACACAUGCAAGUCGAACGGCAGCACGGGAGCAAUCCUGGUGGCGAGUGGCGAACGGGUGAGUAAAGUAUCGGAACGUGCCCAGUCGUGGGGGAUGACGUAGCGAAAGUUACGCUAAUACCGCAUACGAUCCAUGGAUGAAAGCGGGGGAUCGCAAGACCUCGCGCGAUUGGAGCGGCCGAUAUCAGAUUAGGUAGUUGGUGGGGUAAAGGCCCAACAAGCCGACGAUCUGUAGCGGGUCUGAGAGGACGACCAGCCACACUGGGACGGAGACACGGCCCAGACUCCUACGGGAGGCAGCAGUGGGGAAUUUUGGACAAUGGGCGAAAGCCUGAUCCAGCCAUGCCGCGUGCAGGAUGAAGGCCUUCGGGUUGUAAACUGCUUUUGUACGGAACGAAAAGGACUGCCCUAAUACGGUGGUCCCAUGACGGUACCGUAAGAAUAAGCACCGGCUAACUACGUGCCAGCCGCCGCGGUAA
This 500-nucleotide ribosomal RNA is filed under the name uncultured bacterium. RNAcentral describes it as "partial 16S ribosomal RNA". It matches the Rfam family "Bacterial small subunit ribosomal RNA", at positions 29 to 523 of the family's 1533-position model. The record is from RNAcentral.